UAGGGAAUCUUCCACAAUGGACGAAAGUCUGAUGGAGCAACGCCGCGUGAGUGAAGAAGGAUUUCGGUUCGUAAAACUCUGUUGCAAGGGAAGAACAAGUAGCGUAGUAACUGGCGCUACCUUGACGGUACCUUGUUAGAAAGCCACGGCUAACUACGUGCCAGCAGCCGCGGUAAUACGUAGGUGGCAAGCGUUGUCCGGAAUUAUUGGGCGUAAAGCGCGCGCAGGUGGUUUCUUAAGUCUGAUGUGAAAGCCCACGGCUCAACCGUGGAGGGUCAUUGGAAACUGGGAAACUUGAGUGCAGAAGAGGAUAGUGGAAUUCCAAGUGUAGCGGUGAAAUGCGUAGAGAUUUGGAGGAACACCAGUGGCGAAGGCGACUAUCUGGUCUGUAACUGACACUGAGGCGCGAAAGCGUGGGGAGCAAACAGGAUUAGAUACCCUGGUAGUCCACGCCGUAAACGAUGAGUGCUAAGUGUUGGGGGGUUUCCGCCCUCAGUGCUGCAG
This 504-nucleotide ribosomal RNA is filed under the name uncultured Bacillota bacterium. RNAcentral describes it as "bacterial SSU rRNA". It matches the Rfam family "Bacterial small subunit ribosomal RNA", at positions 355 to 851 of the family's 1533-position model. The record is from RNAcentral. Lineage: Bacteria; Bacillati; Bacillota.